This 467-nucleotide ribosomal RNA is filed under the name uncultured bacterium. Its description in RNAcentral is "partial 16S ribosomal RNA". It matches the Rfam family "Bacterial small subunit ribosomal RNA", at positions 28 to 507 of the family's 1533-position model. The record is from RNAcentral.
GAUGAACGCUGACAGAAUGCUUAACACAUGCAAGUCAACUUGAAUUUGGGUUUUUAACUUAGGUUUGGGUGGCGGACGGGUGAGUAACGCGUAAAGAACUUGCCUCACAGCUAGGGACAACAUUUGGAAACGAAUGCUAAUACCUAAUAUUAUGAUAAUAGGGCAUCCUAUAAUUAUGAAAGCUAUAAGCGCUGUGAGAGAGCUUUGCGUCCCAUUAGCUAGUUGGAGAGGUAACGGCUCACCAAGGCGAUGAUGGGUAGCCGGCCUGAGAGGGUGAUCGGCCACAAGGGGACUGAGACACGGCCCUUACUCCUACGGGAGGCAGCAGUGGGGAAUAUUGGACAAUGGACCAAGAGUCUGAUCCAGCAAUUCUGUGCGCACGAUGAAGUUUUUCGGAAUGUAAAGUGCUUUCAGUUGGGAAGAAAGAAAUGACGGUACCAACAGAAGAAGUGACGGCUAAAUACGUG